UACGCCACUAACCUGGUGAGAUACGGCAGGAGGAACCCCAGCAGGUGAAAAGGGCACUUUAGUCAGCAUGAUGUUGAGUGCUGGUUGAGCAACACGCCGGGAAGGAGAGGAGCCAGCAUCACUUCUGAUGACACACGAUACUCCCAACAACAAUAAUCCAUCAGUUAUGUUUCUGUGUGCUGGGGAUCACUGCAAGACAUUCCAGAUCCCUUAACUGGCCAGCAGUUUCACAGCAGCAGUGAAGUCUGACAGAUAAGAGUAAUGCUGAUCAACC
This 274-nucleotide long non-coding RNA is filed under the name Gallus gallus (chicken). The record is from RNAcentral. Lineage: Eukaryota; Metazoa; Chordata; Aves; Galliformes; Phasianidae.